RNAcentral lists this non-coding RNA (171 nucleotides) under Gossypium hirsutum (cotton). RNAcentral's name for it is "Eukaryotic small subunit ribosomal RNA". It matches the Rfam family "Eukaryotic small subunit ribosomal RNA", at positions 1280 to 1470 of the family's 1831-position model. Lineage: Eukaryota; Viridiplantae; Streptophyta; Magnoliopsida; Malvales; Malvaceae. The record is from Rfam by way of RNAcentral.
GUGCAUGGCCGUUCUUAGUUGGUGGAGCGAUUUGUCCGGUUAAUUCCGUUAACGAACGAGACCUCAGCCUGCUAACUAGCUACACGGAGGUGAUCCUCCGUGGCUAGCUUCUUAGAGGGACUAUGGCCUUUUAGGCCACGAAAGUUUGAGGCAAUAACAGGUCUGUGAUGC